Molecule: ribosomal RNA, 406 nt
Filed under: uncultured prokaryote
Description: bacterial SSU rRNA
Rfam family: Bacterial small subunit ribosomal RNA
Source: RNAcentral
UGGGGAAUAUUGGGCAAUGGGCGAAAGCCUGACCCAGCGACGCCGCGUGAGGGAAGAAGGUCUUCGGAUUGUAAACCUUUGUUGAUAGGGACGAACAGAUGACGGUACCUAUCGAGGAAGCCACGGCUAACUACGUGCCAGCAGCCGCGGUAAUACGUAGGUGGCAAGCGUUGUCCGGAUUUACUGGGCGUAAAGGGAGCGUAGGCGGAUUUUUAAGUGAGAUGUGAAAUACCCGGGCUUAACUUGGGUGCUGCAUUUCAAACUGGAAGUCUAGAGUGCAGGAGAGGAGAAGGGAAUUCCUAGUGUAGCGGUGAAAUGCGUAGAGAUUAGGAAGAACACCAGUGGCGAAGGCGCUUCUCUGGACUGUAACUGACGCUGAGGCUCGAAAGCGUGGGGAGCAAACAGG